AGUGCUCGCAAGAGAGCCGGAACACAGGUGCUGCAUGGCUGUCGUCAGCUCGUGUCGUGAGAUGUUGGGUUAAGUCCCGCAACGAGCGCAACCCUUGUCAUUAGUUGCUACAUUCAGUUGGGCACUCUAAUGAGACUGCCGGUGACGAAGCCGGAGGAAGUGGGGAUGACGUCAAGUCCUCAUGGCCCUUAUAGGUGGGGCUACACACGUCAUACAAUGGCUGGUACAAAGGGUUGCCAACCGCGAGGGGGAGCCAAUCCCAUAAAGCCAGUCGUAGUCCGGAUCGUAGUCUGCAACUCGACUACGUGAAGUCGGAAUCGCUAGUAAUCGUGGAUCAGAAUGUCACGGUGAAUACGUUCCCGGGUCUU
Molecule: ribosomal RNA, 368 nt
Filed under: uncultured Rhodoferax sp.
Lineage: Bacteria; Pseudomonadati; Pseudomonadota; Betaproteobacteria; Burkholderiales; Comamonadaceae
Description: bacterial SSU rRNA
Rfam family: Bacterial small subunit ribosomal RNA
Source: RNAcentral